This 460-nucleotide ribosomal RNA is filed under the name uncultured bacterium. RNAcentral describes it as "partial 16S ribosomal RNA". It matches the Rfam family "Bacterial small subunit ribosomal RNA", at positions 338 to 795 of the family's 1533-position model. The record is from RNAcentral.
CCUACGGGAGGCAGCAGUGAGGAAUAUUGGUCAAUGGGCGUAAGCCUGAACCAGCCAAGUCGCGUGAUGGAUGACGGCUCUAUGGAUUGUAAACCUCUUUUAUAAGGGAAUAAAGCGAGGCACGUGUGCCGUUUUGCAUGUACCUUAUGAAUAAGGAUCGGCUAACUCCGUGCCAGCAGCCGCGGUAAUACGGAGGAUCCGAGCGUUAUCCGGAUUUAUUGGGUUUAAAGGGUGCGUAGGGGGGCUGUUAAGUCAGCUGUGAAAGUUUGUGGCUCAACCCUAGAAUUGCAGUUGAAACUGGGAGUCUUGAGUAUGGUUGAGGUAGGCGGAAUGCGUGGUGUAGCGGUGAAAUGCUUAGAUAUCACGAAGAACCCCGAUUGCGAAGGCAGCUUACUAAGCUGUGACUGACGCUGAUGCACGAAAGCGUGGGUAUCAAACAGGAUUAGAUACCCCUGUAGUC